CUUUGCAUUGCUCCACAGUGGAAAGGAAAAGGACUGUAAGAUGUCGAAGGAGCUCUGUUGCAGACAUGUAAGGAACACAGUCACCAGCAUGGUUGCAAUCCUCCGUGCUAGUCCCAUGCACUGUAAAAUGUAAUUCUAGAUGUUUGUUAUUUCAACAUAUUAUUCUAUAUCAGUUUGACGAUAGAUGACUGAAGUUGUUGUUAUAACAUAGAAUUACAAGUUAAAAACGUCCCAAUUACACCAAAAAAAGCUAACUUGAAAACUCAUGUCCAGCUAAAUCAGCAACUUAUGUGAACUUGACAAUGUGGGUAAGUUGAGCACAGCAGGAUUCAAAACUGCCUCACGUGACUGCUACCGAGGUGCAUCAUGGGGAAUUGGCGGUUAACGACAUGCUCACUUUACUUGGACGUUUUCUAAUCGUCUUCUUUGGAAUAUGCUUUCAAGGUCUGUGAAGCCAAACUUGAUGCUGGGGAUUUAUUUUUGUCAGUGGAGUCAAAUGGUUGAAGCAGAAUUUGCCCGUCUUACAUCUGUUGACCUGAAAGGGUUCCUUUUUGCUGUGCUUGACCAUUAUGGAGAGGUUCGUGGAGCUGUACAAAAUCAAGAGCGGCAUAGAAGGGCUAACUAGGCUCAUAAGAUGCUUCGGAGAUGAUAGCCCUACACAAAGGAAGAGGACAGAGGACCUCAUUUUCUAAAGGAAGAUCCUCA
Oreochromis aureus is the source of this 705-nucleotide long non-coding RNA. The record is from Ensembl. Lineage: Eukaryota; Metazoa; Chordata; Actinopteri; Cichliformes; Cichlidae.